This is a non-coding RNA of Misgurnus anguillicaudatus (oriental weatherfish), 1084 nucleotides long. The record is from RefSeq and is a predicted model, not a curated record. Lineage: Eukaryota; Metazoa; Chordata; Actinopteri; Cypriniformes; Cobitidae.
CAUUUAUUGACUGUUUAGAGGCUGUAAGGCUUUUACCUAACUUAACUGUAUUUAGUAUUAAUGAUGCUGCAUUCUUUCCUCAGAAGCUAAAGUUUUUCAAAGACAUUUGUAGGGAGGGCUUUGCAGCUAAUGAUUUCCUACGGCUGAACCAAAACCUGCCAGACUAAAGUUGAUUUGGGAGAGAAAGACGUUGUAAACUUUAGGGCUGCACGAUAAAUCGCAUGCGAUACCACGCGCAUCACGUCAGUAAUGCCGGUUCCUUGAUUAGUAUUAAAUCGCCAUCAGCUGUUUUCAGAUGGAGCAGCUUUAACUACACAGAGCCUUAAGCCCGGGAUACACUGCACGAUUAUUGGCUGUCCAAGGCGAAAGAUUGCCAUCGUGAAACUAUCGUCGCGAUUUCUGUGAUCGUGGAUCUCCAUCGGUGGUCCUAUGUCGUACAGUGAGAGAGGUUCAAAGACGGACGUUUUCCCAGUCUUGCGUCCAAAGAUAGCCUACGAUAGUUUUCUGGCAGUGUCAGAAAUUCGCCAUGAUCACCGCACAGUGUGUUUGCUGCUACGACCUGCGCGCCGGUAUUUGUUUACCACAAGCUCAUGCUGGUGAUGUUGCGCAACAUGUGACGCUGCCGCCAAAGCUUCCGUGUCAUCAUCGUACAGUCUACAUGCCUCUCGUACCCGAGUUUAAACGAUACAUGUCGCACAGUGUGAUAAGGUAAUGAUCUUAUAAGAGGACAAAAAUCGUGCAGUGUAUUCCGGGCUUUAGUUCCCUGACAAGCUGGGCCAUAUCGCAUACAUAUCGCAGGCGAUACGUCCGCGAUAAUUAAUGCGAAAUUGCCCCGAUUGUCAGUGAACUACGGCUCUGUGUAGUUAAAGCUGCUCCAUCUGAAAACAGCUGAUGGUGAUUUAAUACUAAUCAAGGAACCGGCAUUACUGAGGAGAUACGCCUGACAAACACAUGCGAUUUAUCGUGCAGCCCUAAACUCAAUCAUCUUGACAUUCUUCAAUGAGUAAUUGUUCAAUUUUUAGGCAAAUACUGUACACUUUGAAUGCUGUGAAUAAAACUAUAUUUUAAAUAUAUUUAAAAUGAA